This 254-nucleotide ribosomal RNA is filed under the name uncultured Methanomassiliicoccales archaeon. Its description in RNAcentral is "partial 16S ribosomal RNA". It matches the Rfam family "Archaeal small subunit ribosomal RNA", at positions 474 to 727 of the family's 1478-position model. Lineage: Archaea; Methanobacteriati; Thermoplasmatota; Thermoplasmata; Methanomassiliicoccales. The record is from RNAcentral.
UACCCGCGCCCCUAGUGGUGGUCGAUAUUAUUGAGCCUAAAACGUCCGUAGCCGGUCUUCUAAAUCCUUGGGUAAAUCGGGCAGCUUAACUGUCCGAAGUCCGGGGAGACUGGAAGACUUGGGACCGGGAGAGGUCAGAGGUACUUCUGGGGUAGGGGUAAAAUCCUGUAAUCCUGGAAGGACCACCGGUGGCGAAGGCGUCUGACUAGAACGGAUCCGACGGUGAGGGACGAAGCCCUGGGGGAGCGAACCGG